RNAcentral lists this ribosomal RNA (309 nucleotides) under uncultured bacterium. RNAcentral describes it as "bacterial SSU rRNA". It matches the Rfam family "Bacterial small subunit ribosomal RNA", at positions 28 to 334 of the family's 1533-position model. The record is from RNAcentral.
GAUGAACGCUGGCGGUGUGGAUAAGGCAUGCAAGUCGAACGAACCUUGUGGAAUUGAUCUCUUCGGAGUGAUUUUCCACGCUGGUUAGUGGCGAACGGGGUAGUAACGCGUAGGAACGUACCAAGAAGUCAGGAAUAGCCCAUCGAAAGAUGGAUUAAUACCUGAUAGUCCCUCCGGGGUAAAGAUUUAUCGCUUCUUGAUCGGCCUGCGUAGUAUCAGCUUGUUGGUAGUGUAAUGGACUACCAAGGCUAUGACGCUUAGGGGAGGUGAGAGCCUGACCCCCACCAUUGGAACUGCGACACGGUCCAA